AGGAGGACAAGAGACUUCUAUACGCUAUGGAGGGACGAUUUGGGUGACAUCUGAGACGCAGCCGCACAUCAACAAGCGUCCGGGCUCCAGGGACAUGGCGGCGGCCUCUGUGGUGUCGGUGCUGCUGGUGGCGACUGAGAGGAACCAGUGGCAGCCAGUCCAGAGCCCGCUGCUGCUGCCGCUGCCGCUGCCGAGGCAACGAUCCAAAAGGUAGUUCUGGCACUUGGAUACUACUACCUUGGAGCAACUUGUCAUGCCUGCAUUGUGUGGAACCAGUGUUCAAAAUAAAAUGCAAAAACUUCAGGCUGGUGGAGGAGGGAGCACACAACGUCCUGGUACUCCAGGGAGACCAUUUGAUAUGUUAAAUAGAAUAUAUCAUUGUUGUGUUGCUUUCUGCCUUAAUGCCAAUUGAUAUGCUGAAGACCUCAAAAAGUUCCUGAGAAAUCCAUUUCAAAUUCUAGUGAAGAAAGAGGAACUGACCUUUGAAAAGAUCAAUAUCUUAUAAUAACUUUGAAAGAGGAAUUGGCAGCAGGAGUCAAUUUGGGAGGAAGGCUGUGGCCAUAAACAUUGAAGAAGACAAGAAGAUUCCUUGUGACACUGAGCCUUUCUGCCAUACUACACUGGAGGAAAUGCCAAUGAAUGUGGCUGACCUAAUUUAAUUCCUGGGAUGAAAUGGUUUUGAAUGUAGUGCUUGCUGUUGGUGAAUAGGCAAUCACAAGGUGCACUGUGCUUCUUUUGGGGGAAAUAUUUGAAGCUUUGUCUCAAUGCUCAUAGCAGAUCAAAAAUAUAGAUUUUGAUAGCAAAGCAACUUCAGCCAUGAGCUCAUGUGAGGAAAGUCAUUGGCUUUAUCCUCUUUAGAAUUAAACUGUUGGGGUGGCUAUAAAAGAUGGGCUUGUACCCAAUUGAAAAAUGGGCAGAAGACCUAAAUAUACAUUUCUCCAAAGAAGACAUACAGAUGGCCAACAGGCAAAUGAAAAAAGUUUCAACAUUGCUAAUUAUCAGAGAAAUGCAAAUCAAAACUACAAUGAGAUACUGCCUCACACCAGUCAGAAUAGCCAACAUUAAAAAGUCUACAAAUAGCAUAUGCUGGAGAGGGUGUGGAGAAGAGGGAACCCUCUUACACUGUUGGUGGAAAUGUAAAUUGGUGCAGCCACUAUGGAGAACAGUAUGGAGGUUCCUCAAGAAACUAAAAAUAGAAUUACCAUAUGAUCCAGCAAUCCCACUCCUGGGCAUAUAUCCAGAUAAAACUAUAAUUCAAAAAGAUACAUGCACCCCUAUGGUCAUAGCAACACUAUUCACAAUAGCCAAGACAUGGAAACCACCUAAAUGUCCACCUAGAGAUGAAUGGAUAAAGAAGAUGUGGUACAUAUAAUACAAUGGAAUACUACUCAGCCAUAAAAAAGAAUGAAAUAAUGCCAUUUGCAGCAACAUGGAUGGAACUGGAGAUUAUCAUACUAAGCGAAGAAGUCAGAAAGAGAAGGAAAAAUACCAUACGAUAUCACUUAUAUGUGGAAUCUAAAAUAUGACACAAAUGAACCUACCUACGAAACAGAAACAGACUCACAGACAUAGAGAACAGAUCUGUGUUUGCCAAGGCAGUGGGGGUGGGGAGAGGAGCGAUGGAGUGGGAGUUUGGGGUUAGCAGAUGCAAACUAUUAUAUACAGGAUGGAUAAACAACGAGGUCCUACUGUAUAGCACAGGGAACUAUAUUCAACAUCUUGUGAUAAAACAUAAUGGAAAAGACUAUGAAAAAGAAUACAUAUAUAUGUAUAACUGAAUCACUUUGCUGUAGAGCAGAAAUUAACUCAACAUUGUAAAUCAACUAUACUUCAAUUUAAAAAAAAGAUGGGGUUGUAAAUCUUUCUUAGAAUUUUAUCUCCUAGUUCUCUACACAUGGUUAUAUUGAGUGUUCACUAUCAUUUAAUAAUAUACUUGUUGACUGAAAGAUACAUGCUAUAUAAAAGCAGCCUAUUAUAUUAAACUAGUAUAUCUGCUGUUAUUGUGUUAGUCACUAGACUGAAUGGAACUAACUUUAAAAUGAUUUUUUCAGAAAAUAUUUGAAUUUAUUUUUUUUGGUAUCGUUUUUAUUCAGUAAGGCAUUUUAUUAGUGGUAAGUGUAAACUAGAGUCUUUUGCUAAACACCAGCAACAAUCAUGUCCUACAGUUAAAUCUCAGAAAAAUUGCUGUAUUGUAUAUUGAAUUUUCAAUAAAUUAAAAUGAAGUCUUUUUUCUUUAAA
Balaenoptera ricei (Rice's whale) is the source of this 2238-nucleotide long non-coding RNA. RefSeq lists it as uncharacterized. NCBI's taxonomy places the organism in Eukaryota, Metazoa, Chordata, Mammalia, Artiodactyla, Balaenopteridae. The transcript is spliced from 4 exons. The record is from RefSeq and is a predicted model, not a curated record.